Molecule: long non-coding RNA, 266 nt
Filed under: Malus domestica (apple)
Lineage: Eukaryota; Viridiplantae; Streptophyta; Magnoliopsida; Rosales; Rosaceae
Description: long non-coding RNA (MDOM_LNC003872)
Source: RNAcentral
GCGCCCUUACACAACAGACAACUUUGGUGAAUCAACUUUUGCAACGCAUCGGGAUCCAACGUGCCCCGGACGAGGUAUCCCGAAGUAGGACAAGGGCAGACGAACCUUUCCAGCAGUGUCCUGGCAAGCAGCCAUUCGACCAGCCAUGAGCCGAACGUUCAGGCAGUGUACAUUCCCGAUUGGGCCCCCGAGAUAGCGUAUACUCCCGUCUUAGCGCGCGGAGGAGCGUGUACUCUCGACUAGGCCCACGGAUGAGCAUACAUUCA